UCAAACUUGGUCAUUUAGAGGAAGUAAAAGUCGUAACAAGGUUUCCGUAGGUGAACCUGCGGAAGGAUCAUUACAGAUUAUUUUCAAAAAUGAAUUGGGGUUGGGUUGUUGCUGGCUUUUUCCUUUUUUUCAAAAGGAAAGCAUGUGCACACCUUACUUCAGUUUUUUUGAUCACCUGUGCACCUUGUGUAGAUUUUGAACAUUUUUUGUUCCUCAGUGAGGAUGUGAACUUCUUUCUGGAUUGAGAAGAUGGCUUCAAUUAACAGUAGACUCUUCUUGCAAAAGUUCAAAUUCUAUGUAUAUUUUUUCUCUAUAUACACAUUGUUAUCGGAAUGAUUGAUGAAACUAAAAAUUGUAAAAACAACUUUCAACAACGGAUCUCUUGGCUCUCGCAUCGAUGAAGAACGCAGC
Molecule: unclassified non-coding RNA, 411 nt
Filed under: uncultured fungus
Lineage: Eukaryota; Fungi
Description: partial contains small subunit ribosomal RNA, internal transcribed spacer 1, and 5.8S ribosomal RNA
Rfam family: Eukaryotic small subunit ribosomal RNA (bases 1-73)
Source: RNAcentral